CAAGUCAUCAUGCCCCUUAUGUCCAGGGCUGCACGCAUGCUACAAUGGCAAGUACAACGAGUCGCAAUACCGCGAGGUGGAGCAAAUCUCUUAAAGCUUGUCUCAGUUCGGAUAGGAGUCUGCAACUCGACUCCUUGAAGUUGGAGUCGCUAGUAAUCGCAAAUCAGCAAAGUUGCGGUGAAUACGUUCUCGGGGUUUGUACACACCGCCCGUCAAGUCACGGAAGUCGGCAAUACGCGAAGCCAGUGGUCUAACCCUUUGGGGAAGAAGCUGUCGAACGUAGGGUUGGUAACUGGGACUAAGUCGUAACAAGGUAGCCGUACGGGAACGUGCGGCUGGAUCACCUCCUUUCUAAGGAG
RNAcentral lists this ribosomal RNA (359 nucleotides) under Actinomycetes bacterium. Its description in RNAcentral is "bacterial SSU rRNA". It matches the Rfam family "Bacterial small subunit ribosomal RNA", at positions 1186 to 1533 of the family's 1533-position model. The record is from RNAcentral. Lineage: Bacteria; Bacillati; Actinomycetota; Actinomycetes.